This 13716-nucleotide long non-coding RNA is filed under the name Sorghum bicolor (sorghum). RNAcentral describes it as "long non-coding RNA (SBIC_LNC017011)". Lineage: Eukaryota; Viridiplantae; Streptophyta; Magnoliopsida; Poales; Poaceae. The record is from RNAcentral.
AUAACAAAGAAGUGCAUGAGAGAGAGAGUUGGAGGGAAUAGGUUCGGAAAUGCAAUAUUAAUAAAAAAAUCCACUGCAGGGAGAUGAGGUUCCCUGGCUUUGUAUUAAAAGGGUGGAGUACCCAAAUAGCUGGCCAGGAAACUCCCUGAAACCAAUUCUCAGGGGUGGCCUCCUCGGUGGGAGACUACGAACCACGUUAUUGCUUAGUUCACAAAAUGCAAAAAAAAAAAAAAAAAAAGGCAGGCUUACCCAAAGAAAUGAGCUUGUCCUCUGAAAUGUGCAGAGUAUCUCCCCUCAGCUUUUCUCUUCUCCAGUUCAGUUUCCACCAUGCUAAUAAGCAUUUUCUCAGUUUCAAUUUUUGCAACCUGGAAUAACAAGACAAGUGAGCAUGUCUAGCUUACUGAUAUCCUUUCAGCAGAAAGAAUCCUAUCAGAAGAGACCAAGAAAGUUAAGAAGGUCAAUAUUCCCAGUCUUUACCUGAACAUUGCCAUGGGGAUCCCUUUCAAGCAUAAGUUGCUCCUGAAUAGUUUUGGGCAGAAACUCAAACAGCUCCUUUGAUUCAGGCUGAAGCUUGCUUUUCCAGGCCCCUGCCUCAUCAACAACAUCAUGUGCCAAAAUUUCAUUCAAUUCUGCGAUGAGUUUUUGAACCUGCAAAAGAAAAGAAGUGAUGUCAGUAAUAUAGUCUAUGGCAACACAAAGUCACAGACCAUAAAAAGAGUCAAACCUCUGGGAUGAAAUCAAUUAGGCCUUCUGGUAUAAGGAUAACACCGUAGUUGUAACCGAGAUCUGCACGCUUGCAGAUGAUAUCAGUGAUGUAGUUUGUGACAUUCUUAAGGGUUUGCUUCUUUUCAGCAACCUACAAUGGCGAAGAAGACGUUAUUUUUUAAAUAAUGAUGCACAGAAUUAUGAACAAACAAUAAAGCCAUAAUGUCAGAAAAUGUAACCUAUCAGAUACAGACAAAAAUCUAGUCUGCUAAAUUGUUCUUAAGAUUCCACAAUUUGAGAAGAUGUACAAAAAAACUGCAUUAAGACAAAGUAAAUUUGAACUGGAUGGAGUAUCAGAUGGUGUACAUGUGCACAAACUCAAUCUCGUCCAUGUGAUCCAAUCUGAAUGGCCCAGUUAAGAGGUGAUAAUCCCCUCCUCAAUCACCUUUGAUUUUAGUUGGACCAAAUCUAAUUGGACCAGCCAUAGAGGGUUGGGAGGAUACUCACCUCUCACCUGGGGCAUUCAGAUUGGAAACAAUGGAUGAGAUCGAGUUUGUGCACAUGUGCACGGUGCACCAAUAUGUUCUUGUGCGCCCAAUACUCCCUCUUUGAACUAAGACCCACAGAACUAACUACUUUAACAUGUAUCACAAAAGGGCAACUAUUUUGACACUUGGAACCACAGAACUACAACUGAUUUAACAUGUAUCACCAAACUACAACUAUCCUAACACUGGGCAGUUAUGAGAAAGUUGGUAGGUGCCAAAUGCCAAAACCAUUGCGGUUUAAUGAUAUAUGUUAAGAUAGUUGUGGUUCUGGGGUAUUAGUUCAAAUUAGUUGUAGUUCUGUAAAUUUACUCUAAACAUAAAAUAUGGAUACUUGUGCAUAGAAAGUUACACUCUCCUUUUGUGUCAUUGUAUGUAUCUAAUCUGGCUAGAUAAAGGCGGGAACAUUCAAUCAUGCUAAUUCCAUGUAGAAAGAAUUUUGCAUGUAAGAAAUACCAACCUCUUCCCCAAUGAGUGCAGCAUUGGGGUGAGUUUGCAAAGCGCAUUCCAAUGUAAUGUGAGAAGCAGCACGACCCAUAAGCCUCACAACUGCAAGAGCAAGUACUUGUUAAAAACUUUAUUGCAAAAAAAUAUCAAAAAUGUUAAAAUGUGCCAUCUGUAGUUCCGUUCUAUACUUCCAACAUUCAAGGAUUACAUGUUAGCACUGCUCUAUAAUGUCAAAAACAAAAAUGCUCCAUGGCAAGAUACUACUACGUCAAUAUAGCAACUUACUAGUCUUUAAUUAUUAAAUGACAACCUAUUUUGUUGCUACUGAAAAACUUACAGUGAUAGUAUUUUCCUGUUGAUCUCGCAUCAGUCAUAACAUUGCCAAUCAUUUCAGAGUAUAUCUGAAAAAGAAGAUUAGUCUUUGUCAUGAUAUUUUCAUGGUGGGUUUUCAAAUGCAUCUGUGUAGGAUGUCUUAAUUUCUCAAAUUGAAAGAAUGCUUGGGCAGGUGUGCCAUCACCAUUGUAGCUAAUUAAAAAUCUAGACUAAGAUUUGCAUGCAUGAUACUGUGAGACGAGCACAACACAAGGAUCAAGAAUUCAGUACCUUGCAAGCAGUAUCAAACCCAAAGCUUGUUGGAACCUCCUUACAUUUCAGGUCUCCAUCAAUAGUCUUUGGGCAACCAAUAACACGGGUUUUCAAAUUCCUUGACCUAUGGAGCAAAGUUCAUAAUUUGAAAUCAUAAUCUUGAUUUACUUGUGGAUAAGCAGAAAAAGAAACAAUUGACGCAAUGUAUAUUCACAAGUCAGCCUUAUAUUGAAACACCAAAACAGAGUGUUAGCGGCCAACCUAAAGUAUUCACCAAGGAGGCAGGCAUUGGUGUUUGAAUCAUCACCACCAAUGACAACAAGACCAUCCAAAUCAAGCUUGUUGGCUGUGUCUUCAGCUUGCUUGAACUGCACAAGCAACAUAGGUAUUUGAGAAAAAAAAAAUGAUCGAGAUUAGGCAAUCCAGUAGCAAAUUUUUUCCAUAAGCAUUUGCACAUGAACAUGGUCAUUGGCCAGAGCCCAGAGACAUACCUGCUCCGGUGUUUCAAUCUUGUCCCUUCCACUGCAGAUCAUAUCAAAUCCGCCCUAUCAAAAAGAAACAAAAUUUAAAUGCAUGAUCAAAAGGAAAUAGUAUAUAAAGGAUAAUUCAAUAAAUGAUAGUUCAUUAAUACAAAGGUUAAUUUGCUUAACUAAUCACGCUUUGUUAGUAAAGUACUAAAGUAACAAUUUUGCGAAAACAUUAACAGUGGUCAACACAUAAGAAAGACAACUGCAACACGAAAGACCUACUCCAAAAUCUUACCUAAUACUAACAGGCAAACAAACAUGAUUUAAACAAAAGUAAACAUCAUUAAAAUGUUCAGUCAGCAAUACACUUAAUAAAGUAUAUGUUGCUGUACCUGGUUUCUGUAGGGAUACACAAAGUCUGCAGUGAGCUCCACAUACUUGCACUUCAUAACCCCAGCUGGGCCUCCCUUGAAUCCAUACAUGGUGCUGCCUUUUGCACGCUCCUGCAGGUAAUCUGAUCCAACCCACACCAGAAAAGUCAAACACAAGAAUUGCUUCAGGAAAUUCAAAACACAGUCAAACUCUUUCAUUGUCUACUCAAUUGCAUGCAAAUCCAAAAGAAGAUUCACUCGCUCAAAAAAAAAACAACUGAAUCAGUCAAUUUAGCCUCAUCAUACUACCAAAAUCCACAGAGAUCUACAGCUGCGCGAGUUCACUGGGACCUCAUUUAAAGACACUAUACAUUACUGAAAAAGAAACAAGGAGUACUCUUUAGAUCUCCACCUGACUGCACUACCCUUCCUUGAAUCUACCAUCAACCUCAGAUCGCCUCCAUUAGCACCCAAGGCCUUGGCAUAUCUUUUUUUUGUGAUUGAUUGAAAAGCUCGGGAAGCCAACGCAUAUGUACUCACCAAAGAUGCCGCAGAUGACAUUGUGGCCGCCCGGCGCCUGUCCACCGGAGAGCACGACACCGACCUUGAGCGGCCUGGUCGCGGCGGGCUCGGCCGCCGGCACCAGCGACGCCGAGGGCUGGCCGAAGAGGUUGGGGAAGAGCUUGGCGAUCUCAUCUGCGACAGAUCGAUCGAAUCUGAUGAGCUCGAUGGCAAAGCGCACGCAAGGCCCGAGAUCCGAAGAUACGGGCAGCGUGGGACGGUCGGUCGGACCGGUCACUCACCGGGGUUGCCCGCGGCGGAGCUGGCGGGGCCGUCGACGACGGAGAAGUUGGAGCGGAGGACGGAGGGGAGCGGCAGCGCGUGCAGGAGCCGGUUCGUCUGCACCUCGCUGUACACGGAGGCCAGCCGGCCGGGCGCCGGCCCGCCGUUCGCCGCCACCGCGCCGCCGUUGGACGUCACCGCCGCCGCCGCCAUGCGUCCGUCCGGUUUCGGGAGAGCGGAGCGGAGUGUGUUUCGCUGAUCUGGGUGUUGUGUUUGGUUUGGUUCGGGGGGGAAUAUGCCGUGGGCGAAGCGAAAGGGCCCGUCGCCGUCGUGCGGGUUUUUUAUGGGGGGCGCGAUGGCGAUCUGGUGAUCUGGUCGGGUGGGGGUUGGCGAGCCCCUGGGUUCGUGGCGUGUCCGCGGUUUGGUCCGAGCGGCGCCGCGGCAGGGGACGUUUUGGUGGUUUUACCGUGGGGUACCUGAUAUAAGUGGCGUAUUUGGGUGUCAAGGGUCUGUACUGGGUGCCGGAUGGGGUCUUGUGUGCCGGUGGUUGAUUACGAAGUUUUCCUGGGUGGAUCUGCAGUUCUGCACAGAUGAGGAUCCACGGUGUUUGUCUGGCCUGUCUCUUGGAACCUGGGUUGGCCGUGGUAUUUUACGGCUGCAGGUCGACGUCGCUGCCGUUCGGUUCGCCUGCUCGUUGUUUUCCGGCGGAUCGACGUGCCAUCCUGUGUGGUGUGUGCUACCGAGCUCGCGAUAGAGCACCUCUUUUAGCCUAGAAGACGUAAGCCAUCACAAACAUUUGGGCCUUGUUUAGUUCCCAAAAAAUUUUGCAAAAUUUUUUCAGAUUCCCCGUCACAUCAAAUCUCUAGACGCAUGCAUGGAGUAUUAAAUAUAGAUGAAAAUAAAAACUAAUUGUACAGUUUGGUCGAAAUUGACGAGACGAAUCUUUUGACCCUAGUUAGUCCAUGAUUGGAUAAUUUUUGUCAAAUACAAACGAAAGUGCUACAGUGUCGAUUUUGCAAAUUUUUUUGAACUAAACAAGGCCUUGAUAGAGGCUGAGGAUAUCGUUUUGGCAGCGACAAAUGUUCAGUAGAAUCAUUAGAAUUGAUGUCACGCAGACACGCACUACAAUAAAAAAAGGCAAAAUUUAUUGUUGGACAUGCCAAGUGAUGGCUCUUUGCUAUUCAUACACCUAUUUUCGAGUAAUUUCUAACUCUAGUUCUUGACAAAUUGGUUGGUGGAUACCGUAACUAACAAAAUAUUUUUAUAAAAUAAAUAUAAAAUCAUAUAAGUGUCCCAAAAUUUAUCCUAAAAUCUUUUAGACUCUACAUGAUGAGAACCACAUAGUAAAAUAUUGUUUUGCAUUAAAAAUGACUAUUUUACCUCUCCUCAUAAAUAAACAAAGUUAACCAUUGUUAAUUUGUUUAUGUAUUUGUAGGACGCUAAAAAUCUUGAAAAAAUCAUAAAUUGUGUACAUCACCAAAUCACAACUAUGCUAAAAAUAUCAACUCAAAAUAAUAAAAUUUGUUUCAUGUUCUUUUUAAAAUUUAUUUGGAAUAUACACCCAUAGGAUGCCAAGACGUGGAAAGGCUAGCAAACCAAGGUAUGCGUUCAUUGUUGUGCAUUGUCUGCUAAACCCUAGGUUUAGGGGCUGAUGUUUUUUGGUUCGACUAUUAGAGGACAUUGUUUCAAUUGUAGUUAUGAUCCGAUGACCGGAAGUCCUUACGACUUAAACCUUCUCCCUAGCGGUGUUCUAAGACCCAUAUAUUUUUGUGGUGAUCAUUCUAAGGUGGAAAUUUCUGAAAGAUAAAAAAAACCUAUAAGUAGAGGUAUUGUAUGUGUUCCAAUUUUAUAUGGGAGCCUACACCACAAUAGCGCCGCAAUAACUUUAUUGUGAGAUUUUUUUAUUGUGCAUUAAGUUUUUUGUGUCAUAUGAAGUAUGAUUUAUUUGUUUUGUAACAACUAUCUUUGUUAUCGACCCCUCCAUCGUUGUGUGAUUUUGAGCAGUGGAAUGACAUUAAGAACAAGGAAUUGGACAAGCAGCUUCUACAAGGUCUGAAGCAGUGGGAUGGUGUAAAGAGAUUGGAGAAGAGACACAAAGAGGAGGCUCUAAAGGAGCACAAGAAAGAGGAGGAAAGGAGGCAUGUUGCUGCAUAUAGGGAGGAGAGGGAGAAAACGGUUGAGCAUGUGCAUCGAGCGAAGGCAGUGAUGGAGGAGAAUCUCGAUACCCAGAGGAAGGAAAAGUCGUCUCGUUGCACUCAGUAGUUUACAUGACCUGCUUAUUCCAUGGUUUAUUCAUGAACAACGUUGUUUAGUGUUAGACUUUGCAAUGUGUUAUCAUGUAAUGCACUUUAACUAUGGGUGUACCUAGGGCAUGUUAUGUGUUAUUUAGUUUGUUGUCAUGCAUGUAUUUCAAAUGUUAUUGGACAUAUCAUAUGUGUAUAUGGUUUCAUUAUUAGUAGUCAUUAUAUUUAGUUCAAUAUUGCAGAGGCAGUGAAAUGAGUUGAAGUAGUGCAAAUAAAAUAUAACGAACUAGCGGACUACAUAAUUCACACCACACAACAUAUAUAUAUAUAUAUAUAUAUAUAUAUAUAUAUAUAUACACAUAUAUAUAUAUACAUAUAUACAUAUAUAUAUAUAUAAUGGCAUGAAUAACACAAGCAUACUUUGCAUGUCAACAAACUCAACAUAUCCAUAUCAAUCUCUUUCUAUAGUGUCUUCAUGAUAUAUGCUGACUAGGUUGUCCAUUUAGUUGAAGAACAUAACGAAUCACAUUUUCUUUACUCCAAUAUAAAUGAAACAUACCAAGUACAUGCUCUCUAAUACGUAAUAACUAAGUACUAAGUACUACUAACUACUAAGUACUACUAACUAUUAAGUAUUAAUAACUAAUAACUAAUAGUAUACUAAGUACUACUAACUAUGUGAAGUUACUAUCUAACUAUGUAAGUAACUAUAUAACUACUUAAAUAAAUAAGUAAGUAAUUAGCUAUGUAAAUUUACCCUCAAACUACGUAUCUAUCUAAAUAUCUUUCAACAUAUCUAAACCACUAAUACACUAAUAACUAAUUAAACUAAAUAAGUCACCAUAACUAACUAAAUAGAUAGCUAAGUAAGAGCAUUUCCAACCAUAAUUUUUUUAGCAAAAUAAGGAAAAACCCUCUUCAAAAGUUUCACAUCCCAAUUCUCCAUCUUUUCUAACUUGGCAUAUCUCCCUGACUAGCGUGCAAAUAUGCGUGCGGGUAUCGUGCUUGGCAUCGGUCUUUCUCAUGCUUAGCGGCUCUCUUCGUUUCGUUAGCGGGUUUUUGGGUUUUCGAAAACGAAAUUUGCCAAACUGUUGGAGAUAAGAUCUUUUUUCCUCUUCAUAUUAUUUGAGAGUUGGCGAACAAUAAGAUUUGGGAAACAAAUUUUACCAAACAGUUGGAGAUGCUUAGUUGUCAUACCAAAUCUCUAGAUCACAAACUAAUUAAGCUAUAUAUGUGGUCAUAUUUUGUCAUACAACUAAAAAGACUAGAAGAUGGACAUUUUCUUCGUGCAACAAUCGCUUUCGUCUGUCUGCCCCCGCCGUGCAUCCGCGUGUCCGCAUCGUCCGUACUAGGAAAUAGUCGGGCGACCGUCAUCCUCUCCACGAUCCCCUCCCCCUUUCCUAACGUGUCCGCACGGGUGUCGUCGAUCCACGCCCAAUCCCCUCCACGAGAGCGCCCCAAUCCCUCCGUCCACAAGAGAGUUGUCUGCCGUGAGAGCGCUGUCCACCGCGAGAGCGCCGUCCUCGUCAAUGCCGUUCGCGCAAGCUCUGUGCACGACAGCGUCGUCCGCGGGAGUUCCGUCCUCAAGCGCCGUCCGCGUGACCUCCAGGACAACUUUCGUCUGUUUGCCCUCUCACGAAAUCCUUCCCCGCGUGAGUUCCUAUGCCGCCAAGUGGGACCGACAUGGUGUCCCACGCGCCUGCUCCCCUCCCGCUCCGUUUGUCCUCCAACAAUCACGCCCAACUUCAUGCCCCACCAAUCCCGCCCAGAUCCCUCGCCCUUCCAUGCCCUGCACCCCGCUCCUUGCUCCCUGUCCACCACCACAAUCAGUAGGUGUGCUAAACCCUUCUCUUGCCCUUGCCGCAGCGCUGCCCAUGGCCCCAUCCAUCGACACGCGUUGUGAUCCCCCUUCCUGAUCCACGUUGCCACAGUGUCUUCCUCUCCAUCUACGUCUCCUUAGCACCGGCGGCCUACCUCAACAACGAUGGCAAUGAACCAGUGGACCUAUAAGAGAUGGACGUGGUGGUGACCUCACCCCAGAGGCCUCGACCUAGCGCCUGGUGGUGGCGACCUCACCCUCGAGACAUAACGCCUAGUAGUGUCUCCCUUGUAGGUGCAUCUCUCCUAUUCUACCAUUGGUGUGUGCCCCUGUGAUCUAAUCCACUCAAAUAGGAACGUGUGGAGCAUAGAAGAAGGACCAGCGGCCAGCAACCUAUCUACAAGAUCAUCAUCAUCAAUGACCGUCACCGGUGUUGCCUUCCCCAAGGUGUGCCUUUGCUUCAUCUGAGCAAUCCCUGCCCUGAAGAUUGUUUUAGAUAAGCCACCUAUGCUUGCUCGAUCUAUGAUUUGUUUGAGAUAAAUCAAUUUGGCAGUCAUGAUUUCAUAUGGUUUGUUGGCCUGCAACUUUUGAGACAAAGAAGGUGAUAUGAAUAUUGUUUUUGACCAACAUCUGCGCAUUUUUCGGUCUUCCUUCAGCUUAGCAUGGAAUUUAUAUUUGCUGCAGAACAUGAACAACUGUGUAUCAUGUGUUUGAUGGAAUGCCUAGAUAGGUUCAGUGCUUCUAAAUUUCAUGCAUACUUCAUUAUUAAUAAUAUACCAAUAUUGUGCCUUUGGUAUUAUGCUAUAGGAGUAAAAAAUUGAAUUUCUAUUUUGUAUUGUUCACGUUAUGUGAGCUGAUAUUGACAUUAAUUGGCUUAGAUUUCAACACUCUGAUUCGGUUAACAAAUUAUUUUAUUUCUUGUUCCGUAAAAGUAUUGGCUAUUAAGUGUAAUUCAUAUUCGAGAGAACGUCAAUGUAUUGAAAUGGAAAUUCAUGUAUAAAAAUCAUAUGGAUUGUUCUAUUGUCGUGAUUCUAUAUAUUUUGAUAUGGCCUUAUCAUUUGUGCUCAUCAGUGAUUGCCUUUUCAAGAACCACAAUCAACAUGGAGGUGUACCAUGGUAUUUGCCUAAUCAUCUUCCAACUGUAGCUCAUCAUCUAAAUUUAAUCAGUGGACGUUGCCUCAUUUGGACAAAUAUAUGAUAAAGCAACUAAAGAGGAUGAUGACUUGGAUUUGGUGGCUGGAUUGGGAAUUUGUGAUUAAUGUGAAAAACCAUAAACUUUUAUUGUUCAUGGCCUUAACUGAUCUUGUCGUUAGUGCACAAGUGUUGGUAUAAAUUAAUUGCACUCCUUUAAAUAAGAUUUAAGUAAGAUUAUCCACAAGCGCACAAAUAUCGUACCAAUGUCACAUCUUACAUGGGGGUUUCAAAUAUCGUAUCCACAGGGAAGGUAUAUAUGUAGAACUUAUAACUAUAACUUAUACUAUUGGUGUGAACGAUAAACCAUAACUAGAAUCCUACUCAUAACAAGGAUAAGUCACCUGAUAAAAGGUAUAAGAUAAAUAAUCAUCAGUCAUCAUAAAUAGAUAAAUAUCACAGCUUUUCUAGUCAUAGUAAUAGCUAGCCAUUAGAUAAACUCAGAAAGAAAUACUAAGGUAAUUCUAGAACUACGUCAAUGAAUAACUCUAAUUAGUGCAAUUACAUCUACAAAUCAUUGUUAAGUCAACCCUAUAUCAUAAUCACAUGUAAAGAUGCAUCAACUAAUGAGGAUAUUAAGACGCAACCGUCACCUCCUUCGUGACCACGCCCAAGGUGUCCUACGUAUGGGGGUGGACUACAGAGGAACCAACACAGCUGUCACCUGUGCGGACUACCACACGACCCGACACAUUAGGGUGCCCUCACAGAUAAACAGAUAUCUAGACACCACGUCUACAUAUUGUCUACCAUCUACCCACCAAUUGAUUGGGUAAACGCUAUACGAGCAAUUACAUGAAUUCAAUAAGAUCAAACCAACUAUCCUAGACAUAUAAUCAAAGUAGACAAUUACUAUUGCAAUUAAGAAUAUAUAAGAGAUUAAGAAUAAUAUUGCCUGAAUCAUAAUAUUGAAUACAAUAAGAGAAAGGUACUAGAACUAUACCGAACUCUGCGCUCCAGACAGACGCUAGGGGCUCCAGAUCCUGUUGAAGAACUAGAACUCUUCUACUUCUAAUCUAACUAGGCUAAAACUAUAAACUAGAGAGGCUCUGAUGAACUAGAGAAGACUCUUGAUAAAUAAAUCUCCAAAUGACUUGAUGCCUUCAAGAAGCGGGUCUGCCCCUUUAUUUAUAGCUCGGUGGGAUCGACGUGUGCCGUAGGAUCAAAUCGACUUAACCAAGGGCCAAGAUGACUCUUUGGAGGCGGUGGAGGAAGCUUCCAUAAGGGAGGCCGAAACCGUAAUAGGGGGCGCUGGCUGGCGCCAUGGUGGGGCCAGCCGGCCCCACCUGACGGCCUCUGGCCCCCGGUUUCUUCCGGUGUCUUUCAGAGUCUUCCCACGUCCCGUUCGUGAUCUUUUUCGUGGCGGAUAAGUUUCGUGAUAAAUAUGCACUCGAAUCUCUCUUUUCAGCUUUUCUAGAAAUAGACCCUGGAAAAUACAGAAUAUGCAAAACUCAUGGAAAUUGUUAGUUUAAACCCUAGACUAGUGUGUUUUCAUGUUCCCCUUCGAGUUUAAAGUUCUAAUAAAAAUUGAUGUUAUCGACCGUCAACAACAAGCAAUUAGAUUUUCUUGCUGCCUGCAAUUUGCACUGUAGUUAAAGCAUUCCCUUGAUAUAACCACGUUUAUGUUGCUUGUUGUAGUUUCAGAGUUAUUGUAAUUAGGGCAUAUAUAAUAUAUGAAGUGGGCUGCACAAACACCAUGUGCUUGACAUAUUCAUUCUCCAAUCUCUCAAGCAUGCUCUAUGAUCUUGGGAUUGGAACCUUGGGAUCUAUUGGUAACAGAUCUUCCUCUGAUCCUUGUACAUGAGACUGCAGUUUUUCUUAAAAGAGGGUUUGCAGUUUAGAGAUUAUUAAUUUUACUACAAACUUAUGAGCACCAUAACCAUAUAGGAGUAGUAAAAUGUUGACUGUUUUUUCAGUGCCAUUAUGUGCUCGAAUAUUUUCUAACAAGCACUCUUGUGCAUGAUUUUUUUUAGAAUUUGCUUGAAUAUUUUCUGACAAAGUACUCAGGUCCAGGAUUCUAUAUCUAUAAAGAUUUAUUAGUACAUACUCUGAAGUGAAUGAAAAAUGACAUAUCUUUCUGGCUUUCUUUAGACUCUACAUCUUACUAUUGCAGGAAUUGAGAGAAGGUAGGAAAUGCAACUUUUCAUUUGUUGUCAGCACACACCUUGAUUUAUCGGACACAUGAUUAGCUUCUGAGCUGCCUUAGACAAAUCCAGUUCUUGCAAUUCUGCAAGUUUUACAUUUAGCAUAAGCGAAAUAAUGUUGUGACAUCAGUGACAGUGACACAUAGGUGAAAGAAUUAAGCAUGUAUUAUUUCUUUCCUCUUUUAAAGACAAGAUAAUAACACUUACCUCAGUGUUUUCUAUUUUUAAUAAGUUGCAAAAAAAGAAGGGUUGAACAGAAUCAUGUGCUGUUGAGCAGAGUAGGUGGUGUUUGGAAUCAUUUUCCACAUGGCAGGAUGUCUUCUACUCUUCCUUUCACAUGGCUAGAGAUCAGGUAAAAGAGACUUCACACAUAAAAAUAACUUUGGUCAAGGUAAGCACCACUCGAUAAGAGUUAUGCUCUUACAUAUAAUUUCUAUUCUCCAUACAAACUUGUUUUCAUAGCUUCACUUGAGCCUUUUUCAAUUACUAUCUCAUAUAAAAAGUAAUCAUUUUAUCGAGGAAUUUUACAUGGAUGUGAAAAAUAAAAUCUAACUUAUAGAGUUCUAUGGGCUAUGUCGUACGCCAUCAAGUGAAUCAAGGGGUAUUUAGAAUUGUAGUUUAUACUGACAAAGGCCUUCCUAUAUUGUCAUUAUUAAUUUGAGGUAUGAAGAAAAAUCCUUAUGAUUUCGUAGUGUUAAUUUUAAUUUGGUUUGUGCGAAUAGUAUCUUUUGCAGUGAUCAUGAAUAUUGUAACAUAAUUUUUGUUGCUAUGCUACAUUUUUCACAGGAUGCAGUUUCUGAGAAUAAAUUUCCCCAAUAAUGCUUAUGGAUGUUGUUGGGAUGGAUGAAUGUGCCAUGGGAACAUGGCCUCAGCAUACAAGUUUUUAAUCAUGAUGCUUCCCUUGAUGUAUUACUACAGUUCAUUAGUGACAAUGAGUGUGCAUUUACAGUAUAGAAGCCUCCAACUUAAGGAGUGUUUGGAUCAAGGGCCAAUAACUAAUAUUACUCUAAAACCAGUACCAGUAUUUGAUGCCUUGUCAUGUACUGAAACUAUAAUAAUGGUGCUCCACUUGUGUGAACUAUUGCUAAACCCCACUCUUGAUGUUCAGUUAACUUGUCACGAUUACAAGAGGUAAUGUGACUGCUGCAAGAUAUCAUAUGUCUGCUCUGCUCUUCCUUUCUUUUAUUUUCUUUGAGGCUUGAACCCUAAGAAGGGUCUCUGUUGUAAGGUCCAAAUGGCUAGAGGGGGGGUGAAUAGCCUAUUUAAAAAAUUCUACAAACUUCAACUAGACAAGUUGAUUAGUAAAACAAAAGGCGAAGCUAUUCUAGCACUAGCACAACUAAGCUAUGCAAGCCACCUACACAAGUCUAGCAAGAAAGCUAAACACUAGUUACAACAAGAAAGCACAACUAGAAGCUUGCUACACUCCUAAACAAGAAAGCUAAGCUAAACAAGCUACACAACUAGCAAGGUAUACACAAAGGUAAAAGAGAGGGGAGUGAUUGUUAUACCGAUGUUGUAGAGUAGAAAUAUAUCUAAUCAAUCAUUCACAAUCACAAGAGAAUCCUCGGUAAGAGAUGACACAAGAUUUUUUACCGAGGUUCACUUGCUUCCCGGCAAGCUACUCCUCGUUCUGGCGAUACACCCACUUGAUGGAUCACGAGCUAAUUGGCAAUCCAAAGCCAAACCCUCAGUGGGUGCCGCACAUCCACUCACAAGAUGGGGAUCCUCCAAGCCACGAGCAAUCCACUAGAGUAGCCAAUUACGAUCUCCCGCGGGGAAGGCUCAAGAACCCCUCACAAAUCACUUGGUGAGGCUCGAAACAAUCUCCAAUCACGAGCUCAACACCACCGCUGCUCCAAGACGUCUAGGGCAUCGGGAAACACCCAAGAGUAAUAAGAAAUCCGCAGCAAACUCAAGAAUCAAGUGCCACUAAAUGCAACUCUCAAAGCAAUGCACUUGAAUCUCACUCAAUCUCACUAGGAUGAGCAAUCAAGCAAGGAGAUGAGUGGAGGGAGUGUUCUCUAGCUCAAUGUAUGCCUCAAGUAAUCAAAUGUGCAAGAGCGAGCCUCCCAAAGCCGGCCACCAACUAUUUAUAAGCCCCUCAAAGAAACUAGUCGUUGGUUGUUUACACUGGGCUGAAAACGGGGGCACGGGAUGCUACUAAGUGAGCACCGGACGCUCGACCCCCAGCGUCUGGUGCACUGGGGUUAGCCACGUGUCCUUCUUGAAUCUCUCGUGUCAGAUUCUAACGGCUACCUGCGGAACACCGGACGCUCUGCAGGUACACACCGAACGCGUCCGGUGCACACCGGACUCAUGUGCAGAGAGUUUGUCAAACUCGCGACCUCACCGGACACUGGGCACCGGACGGUCCGGUGCUCACCGGACUCGUGUGUAGAGAGGGUUGCAAAAA